UCGGACAUAGUGUAGCGUGAACACAGCCUCUCAUCUUAGACGGUAGUUUGAGUAACUUGAUGGAGGCAAUCCCGGGUUCGAGUCCCGGUGUCUGAG
Mycena latifolia is the source of this 96-nucleotide non-coding RNA. The record is from the annotation of a GenBank genome assembly. NCBI's taxonomy places the organism in Eukaryota, Fungi, Basidiomycota, Agaricomycetes, Agaricales, Mycenaceae.